CCUACGGGUGGCAGCAGUGGGGAAUAUUGGACAAUGGGGGGAACCCUGAUCCAGCCAUGCCGCGUGUGUGAAGAAGGCCCUCGGGUUGUAAAGCACUUUCAGUGAGGAAGAACGCCUGGUGGUUAAUACCCAUCAGGAAAGACAUCACUCACAGAAGAAGCACCGGCUAACUCCGUGCCAGCAGCCGCGGUAAUACGAGGGUGCGAGCGUUAAUCGGAAUUACUGGGCGUAAAGCGCGCGUAGGUGGCUUGAUAAGCCGGUUGUGAAAGCCCCGGGCUCAACCUGGGAACGGCAUCCGGAACUGUCAAGCUAGAGUGCAGGAGAGGAAGGUAGAAUUCCCGGUGUAGCGGUGAAAUGCGUAGAGAUCGGGAGGAAUACCAGUGGCGAAGGCGGCCUUCUGGACUGACACUGACACUGAGGUGCGAAAGCGUGGGUAGCAAACAGGAUUAGAUACCCCAGUAGUC
RNAcentral lists this ribosomal RNA (464 nucleotides) under Vreelandella stevensii. RNAcentral's name for it is "partial 16S ribosomal RNA". It matches the Rfam family "Bacterial small subunit ribosomal RNA", at positions 338 to 795 of the family's 1533-position model. Lineage: Bacteria; Pseudomonadati; Pseudomonadota; Gammaproteobacteria; Oceanospirillales; Halomonadaceae. The record is from RNAcentral.